This 551-nucleotide ribosomal RNA is filed under the name uncultured bacterium. Its description in RNAcentral is "bacterial SSU rRNA". It matches the Rfam family "Bacterial small subunit ribosomal RNA", at positions 355 to 896 of the family's 1533-position model. The record is from RNAcentral.
UGGGGAAUAUUGCGCAAUGGGCGAAAGCCUGACGCAGCAACGCCGCGUGGGGGAUGAAGGUUCUCGGAUUGUAAACCCCUUUCGAUCGGAACGAAUCUCCUCCUGGUAAACAAUCAGGAGGAUCGACGGUACCGGGAGAAGAAGCCACGGCUAACUCUGUACCAGCAGCCGCGGUAAGACAGAGGUGGCGAGCGUUGUUCGGAUUUAUUGGGCGUAAAGCGAACGCAGGUGGUUUGGUAUGUCAGAGGUGAAAGACCACAGCUUAACUGUGGCACUGCCUUUGAUACUGCCUUUCUAGAGUGCAUGAGGGGGAAGCGGAAUUCCGAGUGUAGAGGUGAAAUUCGUAGAUAUUCGGAGGAACACCGGUGGCGAAGGCGGCUUCCUGGCAUGUAACUGACACUCAUGUUCGAAAGCGUGGGUAGCAAACAGGAUUAGAUACCCUGGUAGUCCACGCCCUAAACGAUGGGCACUAGGUGUGGGAGGUAUCGACCCCUUCCGUGCCGCGGCUAACGCAUUAAGUGCCCCGCCUGGGGAGUACGGCCGCAAGGUUG